This 76-nucleotide transfer RNA is filed under the name Aquisphaera giovannonii. Its description in RNAcentral is "tRNA-Leu". It matches the Rfam family "tRNA". Rfam says of the family: Transfer RNA (tRNA) molecules are approximately 80 nucleotides in length. Their secondary structure includes four short double-helical elements and three loops (D, anti-codon, and T loops). The record is from RNAcentral. Lineage: Bacteria; Pseudomonadati; Planctomycetota; Planctomycetia; Isosphaerales; Isosphaeraceae.
GCUCCUCUAGCCCAACGGUAGAGGCACUUGUCUUAGGAACAAGUCAGUCUCGGUUCGAGUCCGAGGGGGAGCACCA